GUGCCGGCCGGCACCUGCG
This 19-nucleotide unclassified non-coding RNA is filed under the name Chlamydomonas reinhardtii. Its description in RNAcentral is "small RNA Cre_2037". Lineage: Eukaryota; Viridiplantae; Chlorophyta; Chlorophyceae; Chlamydomonadales; Chlamydomonadaceae. The record is from RNAcentral.